AACGCGAAGAACCUUACCCACCUUUGACAUGUACGGAAUCCUUUAGAGAUAGAGGAGUGCUCGAAAGAGAACCGUAACACAGGUGCUGCAUGGCUGUCGUCAGCUCGUGUCGUGAGAUGUUGGGUUAAGUCCCGCAACGAGCGCAACCCUUGCCAUUAGUUGCUACAUUUAGUUGGGCACUCUAAUGGGACUGCCGGUGACAAACCGGAGGAAGGUGGGGAUGACGUCAAGUCCUCAUGGCCCUUAUAGGUGGGGCUACACACGUCAUACAAUGGCUGGUACAGAGGGUUGCCAACCCGCGAGGGGGAGCUAAUCCCAUAAAGCCAGUCGUAGUCCGGAUCGCAGUCUGCAACUCGACUGCGUGAAGUCGGAAUCGCUAGUAAUCGCGGAUCAGAAUGUCGCGGUGAAUACGUUCCCGGGCCUUGUACACACCGCGCAUA
This 440-nucleotide ribosomal RNA is filed under the name uncultured bacterium. Its description in RNAcentral is "bacterial SSU rRNA". It matches the Rfam family "Bacterial small subunit ribosomal RNA", at positions 958 to 1398 of the family's 1533-position model. The record is from RNAcentral.